AUACUUUCAACUUUGUUACUUUCUCUUUUAACUCAUUUAUUUUUUUUUUCAUACAAGGAUUCAUUGUUUUUUACUAUUUUCCACAACUCUUGUGCUUGCUGAUACUGCUUUUGUUUUUCAAGUGUUGAAUAUGCUUUUUUAUAUAACUCAAGGAAUUGAAGGUAUUUUUUCUCGUUCCCGCGCGACAUCUUGGUCAUAAUAAAUAAUAAGUUUUUUUUCCAAUGAGGCGUAUUGAGUUUUCGAAUAGAAUCAUAAAAGUUUUUUUUGUUUUAGUUUACUCAAGAUAAUUGCCGUUACAUUGCAUCAUAAAAAGUGUUGGUUUCCAUCAGCAUUUAAAAGAAAUGGGAAAAACCAGGUUCGUAAUUAAAAAAAGAAUUCAGAAGAAGUUUUCUUUGAUUACAGUUUUGUUACUUUUCAUCUUGCUACAGUCGAAUUAUGUUGCAAAAAAUGGAAAACAUUAUUUGGAGAUAUUAUAGCUCGAUUUUUUCUCUCCUCGUUACUUAUAAAGAAAAAUAAAAAACAAUUGUAAUUGAAGUCAGAAAAAAAAAUAACAUAUAUUA
Molecule: non-coding RNA, 560 nt
Organism: Hydra vulgaris (swiftwater hydra)
Lineage: Eukaryota; Metazoa; Cnidaria; Hydrozoa; Anthoathecata; Hydridae
Source: RefSeq, a predicted model, not a curated record